GAUGAAGAACGUAGCGAAAUGCGAUAAGUAGUGUGAAUUGCAGAAUUACCUGAAUCAUCGAAUCUUUGAACGCACAUUGCGCCCCCUGGUAUUCCUGGGGGCAUGCCUGUUCGAGCGUCAUUUCAACCCUCAAGCCCCCGGGCUUGGUGUUGGGGAUCGGCGAGCCUCCGCGCCCGCCGUCCCCUAAAUCUAGUGGCGGUCUCGCUGUAGCUUCCUCUGCGUAGUAGCACACCUCGCACUGGGAAACAGCGCGGCCACGCCGUUAAACCCCCAACUUCUGAACGUUUGACCUCGGAUCAGGUAGGAAUACCCGCUGAACUUAAGCAUAUCAAUAAGCGGAGGA
This 343-nucleotide unclassified non-coding RNA is filed under the name soil metagenome. RNAcentral describes it as "partial contains 5.8S ribosomal RNA, internal transcribed spacer 2, and large subunit ribosomal RNA". The stretch from base 1 to 120 matches the Rfam family "5.8S ribosomal RNA", at positions 35 to 154 of the family's 154-position model. The record is from RNAcentral.